GGGACGGCGGGCGUGCUAUACUGGCAGUCGAGCGGAUCGAUGGGAGCUUGCUCCCUGAGAUCAGCGGCGGACGGGUGAGUAACACGUGGGUAACCUGCCUGUAAGACUGGGAUAACUCCGGGAAACCGGGGCUAAUACCGGAUAAUUCAGUUCCUCGCAUGAGGAACUGUUGAAAGGUGGCUUUUCGCUACCACUUACAGAUGGACCCGCGGCGCAUUAGCUAGUUGGUGAGGUAACGGCUCACCAAGGCAACGAUGCGUAGCCGACCUGAGAGGGUGAUCGGCCACACUGGGACUGAGACACGGCCCAGACUCCUACGGGAGGCAGCAGUAGGGAAUCUUCCGCAAUGGACGAAAGUCUGACGGAGCAACGCCGCGUGAGUGAAGAAGGUUUUCGGAUCGUAAAACUCUGUUGUUAGGGAAGAACAAGUGCCGUUCGAAUAGGGCGGCACCUUGACGGUACCUAACCAGAAAGCCACGGCUAACUACGUGCCAGCAGCCGCGGUAAUACGUAGGUGGCAAGCGUUGUCCGGAAUUAUUGGGCGUAAAGCGCGCGCAGGUGGUUUCUUAAGUCUGAUGUGAAAGCCCACGGCUCAACCGUGGAGGGUCAUUGGAAACUGGGGAACUUGAGUGCAGAAGAGGAAAGUGGAAUUCCAAGUGUAGCGGUGAAAUGCGUAGAUAUUUGGAGGAACACCAGUGGCGAAGGCGACUUUCUGGUCUGUAACUGACACUGAGGCCGAAAACUGGG
RNAcentral lists this ribosomal RNA (747 nucleotides) under Bacillus sp. HM-1-87. RNAcentral's name for it is "bacterial SSU rRNA". It matches the Rfam family "Bacterial small subunit ribosomal RNA", at positions 30 to 764 of the family's 1533-position model. The record is from RNAcentral. Lineage: Bacteria; Bacillati; Bacillota; Bacilli; Caryophanales; Bacillaceae.